GGUGGGUUGGCAGAGUGGUCUAAUGCGCCGGUUUCGAAAACCGGUUGGGGAGUAAUCCCCUCGCAGGUUCAAAUCCUGCACCCACCG
Molecule: transfer RNA, 87 nt
Filed under: bacterium
Lineage: Bacteria
Description: tRNA-Ser
Rfam family: tRNA
About the family: Transfer RNA (tRNA) molecules are approximately 80 nucleotides in length. Their secondary structure includes four short double-helical elements and three loops (D, anti-codon, and T loops).
Source: RNAcentral